UACGUAGGCAGCAAGCGUUGUUCGGAGUUACUGGGCGUAAAGAGUGUGUAGGCGGUCGUCCAAGUUUGGUGUGAAAUCUCCCGGCUUAACUGGGAGGGUGCGCCGAAAACUGGAUAACUGGAGUAUGGGAGAGGAAAGCGGAAUUCCUGGUGUAGCGGUGAAAUGCGUAGAUAUCAGGAGGAACACCUGCGGUGUAGACGGCUUUCUGGACCAUGACUGACGCUGAGACACGGAAGCGUGGGGAGCAAACAGG
Molecule: ribosomal RNA, 253 nt
Filed under: uncultured bacterium
Lineage: Bacteria
Description: partial 16S ribosomal RNA
Rfam family: Bacterial small subunit ribosomal RNA
Source: RNAcentral